GGUUGUGACUCAGUGGUAGAGUGCUUGCUUAGCAUGCAUGAGGCCCUGGGUUCGAUCCCCAGUACCA
Molecule: transfer RNA, 67 nt
Filed under: Urocitellus parryii (Arctic ground squirrel)
Lineage: Eukaryota; Metazoa; Chordata; Mammalia; Rodentia; Sciuridae
Also listed under: 1 other name
Description: Spermophilus parryii (Arctic ground squirrel) tRNA
Rfam family: tRNA
About the family: Transfer RNA (tRNA) molecules are approximately 80 nucleotides in length. Their secondary structure includes four short double-helical elements and three loops (D, anti-codon, and T loops).
Source: Rfam by way of RNAcentral